GACAGAGGCCUCGAGCGUUAGGCGGAAUCACUGGGCUUAAAGCGUGUGUAGGUGGAUUUGUAAGUACCUUGUGAAAUCCCAUGGCUCAACCAUGGAACUGCUCGGUAUACUGCGAAUCUUGAGCCACUUAGGGGCUACCGGAACAAAUGGUGGAGCGGUGAAAUGCGUAGAUAUCAUUUGGAACGCCAAUGGUGAAAACAGGUAGCUGGGAGUGUGCUGACACUGAGACACGAAAGCCAGGGGAGCGAACGGG
This 253-nucleotide ribosomal RNA is filed under the name uncultured bacterium. RNAcentral describes it as "partial 16S ribosomal RNA". It matches the Rfam family "Bacterial small subunit ribosomal RNA", at positions 524 to 776 of the family's 1533-position model. The record is from RNAcentral.